GUCUUAUUGAUUAUAAUUUUAAGUCUAAUCUGCCCAAUGAGUAAUUAAAUGGCUGCAGUAUUUUAACUGUACAAAGGUAGCAUAAUAAUUAGUUUCUUAAUUAGGAACUGGAAUGAAUGAUUGGACGAAAUAGUGACUGUCUUAGUUUAAAUUUUAGAAUUUUAUUUUUAAGUUAAAAAGCUUAAAUUUUUUUAAAAGACGAGAAGACCCUAUAGAAUUUUAUAUUAUUUAUAUAUUUUAUUAUUAGGAAUUAAAAAUAAGAUUUUUUAAUAAAUAUUUAGUUGGGGUGAUUGAAAAAUUUAAUGAACUUUUUUUUAUUAUUAACAUUGAUUUAUGAUUAUAUGAUCCAGUAUUUCUGAUUAUAAGAUUAAAUUACCUUAGGGAUAACAGCGUAAUUUUUUUAGAGAGCUCUAAUCGAUAAAAGAGAUUGCGACCUCGAUGUUGGAUUAAAGUUUAUUUUUAAUGUAGGAGUUAAAAUAUUAGGUCUGUUCGACCUUUGAAACUUUACAUGAUCUGAGUUCAAACCGGCGUGAGCCAGGUUGGAUUCUAUCUUUAAUAAAAUUAAAUAUUUUAGUACGAAAGGACCAAAUAUUUAUUAUAAUAAUUUUAUUAGAA
Molecule: ribosomal RNA, 615 nt
Filed under: Pallaresiella pallaresana
Lineage: Eukaryota; Metazoa; Arthropoda; Insecta; Coleoptera; Leiodidae
Description: Pallaresiella pallaresanus 16S ribosomal RNA
Rfam family: Bacterial large subunit ribosomal RNA
Source: RNAcentral